GCAUAACAGUAGAUGUUGCAUGACAUUUGCUUAAAAGGUGCAAUUGCAUCACUACCAGAUGGACCUGCGUUGUAUUAGCUAGUUGGUGGGGUAACGGCUCACCAAGGCGACGAUACAUAGCCGACCUGAGAGGGUGAUCGGCCACACUGGGACUGAGACACGGCCCAGACUCCUACGGGAGGCAGCAGUAGGGAAUCUUCGGCAACGGACGGAAGUCUGACCGAGCAACGCCGCGUGAGUGAAGAAGGUUUUCGGAUCGUAAAGCUCUGUUGUAAGAGAAGAACGAGUGUGAGAGUGGAAAGUUCACACUGUGACGGUAUCUUACCAGAAAGGGACGGCUAACUACGUGCCAGCAGCCGCGGUAAUACGUAGGUCCCGAGCGUUGUCCGGAUUUAUUGGGCGUAAAGCGAGCGCAGGCGGUUAGAUAAGUCUGAAGUUAAAGGCUGUGGCUUAACCAUAGUACGCUUUGGAAACUGUUUAACUUGAGUGCAAGAGGGGAGAGUGGAAUUCCAUGUGUAGCGGUGAAAUGCGUAGAUAUAUGGAGGAACACCGGUGGCGAAAGCGGCUCUCUGG
Molecule: ribosomal RNA, 573 nt
Filed under: uncultured Bacilli bacterium
Lineage: Bacteria; Bacillati; Bacillota; Bacilli
Description: bacterial SSU rRNA
Rfam family: Bacterial small subunit ribosomal RNA
Source: RNAcentral